AUUGAACGCUGGCGGCAGGCCUAACACAUGCAAGUCGAACGAGUGGCGGACGGGUGAGUAAUGUCUGGGAAACUGCCUGAUGGAGGGGGAUAACUACUGGAAACGGUAGCUAAUACCGCAUACCAUCGGAUGUGCCCAGAUGGGAUUAGCUCGUAGGUGGGGUAAAGGCUCACCUAGGCGACGAUCCCUAGCUGGUCUGAGAGGAUGACCAGCAACACGGGAACUGGGACACGGUCCAGACUCCUACGGGAGGAAGCAGUGGGGAAUAUUGCACAAUGGGCGAAAGCCUGAUACAGCCAUGCCGCGUGUAUGAAGAAGGCCUUCGGGUUGUAAAGUACUUUCAGUGGGGAGGCGUUACCCGCAGAAGAAGCACCGGCUAACUCCGUGCCAGCAGCCGCGGUAAUUC
RNAcentral lists this ribosomal RNA (406 nucleotides) under uncultured bacterium. RNAcentral describes it as "partial 16S ribosomal RNA". It matches the Rfam family "Bacterial small subunit ribosomal RNA", at positions 30 to 526 of the family's 1533-position model. The record is from RNAcentral.